CGCUGGAAGAGAACGGACAACGCUUACGUGCCGCACGCAGCACAGGCACUAGCUCAUAAACACUGCAUCUCAGGAGAAGAACGACUCGGAAAACGGGGAAGCGAGCGUGCAGAACAGAGGCUGAGGCUGCCCACGCACGACGGCGCGGGACGCCACCUUCCCAGAGGACGUCUCCAUCUGUCGAGGGAAAGCCGAACUCUCCGCAUCACUGCAGAGACAGGCGCGCAAGAACUCACGCACCCCAUCUGCACUCAGCCCUGCACCAGACACGGGCCUGCCGUCCAAAGAGGACUCAUUUAGUCAAGGGCGUGAACAGCGACAAGGAUGACGUGUCUGCCGUGAAGUUCUAACCAUUACUGAGGAUGAUUGUCGAAUCCUAACCACGCGGCCCUCCCGCAACUCUGAGCUCCGCCAGUGACGACCGGUUCCCGGGGCCCUGAGACAGGACCGGCACCACGGUCUCCGCCAGGCUGAGAAAGGUAGGAACACCGGGUAUAAACCCGCUGGACAUCGUCUUCUGUGUGUGACACAGGAAUGAACACACGUUCCUCAAAGGGCUAGUCUGAAGUCUGAAAAACGGCACGUCUGAAAGUAGUUUAAUAUAAUAGAAAAUCACCCACUUCGGAGUCUCAGCCAUUUUCCCUGCCUGGUUAAUGAACAGAAAUUGACACCGCACACCUGAAAAAUAAUUUCCUUUUCCUUAAAAUACAAACUGAGAACAAAAAAAAUGAAGAAUCACUUGAAAAAACAGUAGCCUAACAGAAAAAUGAAACAUGUACUUCUAGCAUUCUUACGGCUCUACUACGUGCACGGAAACAGUUUUUCAAUUGCUGGGCAUUCAACCUACAGCCCAAAUAAAAGCAUUAUAAAUUCCCUGCUAUCUGUAGAGCAGAUACUUCUAUAGUAUAAAAUUUGGAGACUCAUGCCUUCAGAUACACACCUGCUCACCUUCUCAGUCCAGUGACUCCUGAAGCAUCCCUCCGCCUUCCUUGAAGACCUCAUCUCACUGCUGGUGCCCACUCACUGCACCCCACCCUCCAUGAGCCCCGUCAAGUUCGUGGUCAGUUUCGCAUCCACGGAACCAGGAAAACCAUGAAGGAAAGGAGGAACUCUGUCUGUAGCGGCGCUGCUCUACAGGAAACACCAGAGUGUCUCAGAAGCCACUCAGCUCCUCCCCACCCGUCAGGUCCCAGGGACAGCAGGGGACGCUCACCUGGAUGGCGAGGCUGGAGUGAUCACUGUCUGUGCGCAUGUGCGGCUUUUCCUCGUAACUUGGCCACUGGUUCUGAGGAGGAGCCGCGCGGUCCUGGGACCUGGAGGCGGGGAAGGUGAAGUACUCCCUGGUGGACGUCUGCGUGGGGACGGGGUAGGCCUCCGGCCGGGGCGCAGGGGGCUCCUCCUGCAAGACGGGAAGGAGAAGCGAGCUUUCUGCAGUCUGUACAGUAGAUUCACUUACUUUCCAAUGAUCUGUUUUAAAAUAUGUACGUUUAAAAACCGUGUUCAAAAUUAAAAGUGUGAUCCUACACUGAGAAUAAUAAAAAACAUUUUAUUUU
Molecule: long non-coding RNA, 1553 nt
Organism: Camelus dromedarius (Arabian camel)
Lineage: Eukaryota; Metazoa; Chordata; Mammalia; Artiodactyla; Camelidae
Exons: 2
Source: RefSeq, a predicted model, not a curated record